GAUGAACGCUGGCGGCGUGCCUAAUACAUGCAAGUCGAGCGGACGGACGAUAAGCUUGCUUCUCUGAUGUUAGCGGCGGACGGGUGUGUAACACGUGGAUAACCUCCCUAUAAUACUGGGAUAACUUCGGGAAACCGGCGCUAAUACCGGAUAAUCUCUUGAACCGCAUGGUUCAAUAGUGAAAGUCGGUCUUUCUGUCACUUAUAGAUGGAUCUGGGCUGCAUUAGCUAGUUGGUAGGGUAACAGCUUACCAAGGCAACGAGGCAUAGCCGAAGUGAGAGGGUGAUAGGCCACACUGGAACUGAGACACCGUCCAGACUCCUACGGGAGGCAGCAGUAGGGAAUCUUACGCAAUGGGCGAAAGCCUGACGGAGCAACGCCGCGUGAGUGAUGAAGGUCUUCGGAUCGUAAAACCCUGUUAUUAGGGAAGAACAUAUGUGUAAGUAACUGUGGAGAUCUUGACGGUAACUAAUCAGAAAGCAACGGCUAACUACGUG
This 497-nucleotide ribosomal RNA is filed under the name uncultured bacterium. RNAcentral's name for it is "partial 16S ribosomal RNA". It matches the Rfam family "Bacterial small subunit ribosomal RNA", at positions 28 to 507 of the family's 1533-position model. The record is from RNAcentral.